CCUACGGGAGGCAGCAGUGGGGAAUAUUGCACAAUGGGGGAAACCCUGAUGCAGCGACGCCGCGUGAGUGAAGAAGAAAUUCGUUAUGUAAAGCCAUAUCAGCAGGGAAGAAAAUGACGUUACCUGAGUAAGAAGCCCCGGCUAACUACGUGCCAGCAGCCGCGGUAAUACGUAGGGGGCACGCGUUAUCCGGAUUUACUGGGUGUAACGGGAGCGUAGACGGAAGUGCAAGUCUGGAGUGAAAGGCGGGGGCUCAACCCCCGGACUGCUCUGGAGACUGUACGGCUGGAGUGCAGGAGAGGUAAGUGGAAUUCCUAGUGUAGCGGGGAAAUGCGUAGAGAUUAGGAGGAACACCAGUGGCGAAGGCGGCUUACUGGACUGUAACUGACGUUGAGGCUCGAAAGCGUGGGGAGCAAACAGGAUUAGAUACCCAAGUAGUC
This 440-nucleotide ribosomal RNA is filed under the name uncultured bacterium. RNAcentral describes it as "partial 16S ribosomal RNA". It matches the Rfam family "Bacterial small subunit ribosomal RNA", at positions 338 to 795 of the family's 1533-position model. The record is from RNAcentral.